Molecule: ribosomal RNA, 717 nt
Filed under: Lutibacter sp.
Lineage: Bacteria; Pseudomonadati; Bacteroidota; Flavobacteriia; Flavobacteriales; Flavobacteriaceae
Description: bacterial SSU rRNA
Rfam family: Bacterial small subunit ribosomal RNA
Source: RNAcentral
GAUGAACGCUAGCGGCAGGCUUAACACAUGCAAGUCGAGGGGUAACAGAAGUAGCUUGCUAUUUGCUGACGACCGGCGCACGGGUGCGUAACGCGUAUACAAUCUACCUUUUACAGAGGAAUAGCCCAGAGAAAUUUGGAUUAAUACCUCAUAGUAUUAUAAAGUGGCAUCAUUUAAUAAUUAAAACUUCGGUGGUAAAAGAUGAGUAUGCGUUCUAUUAGCUAGAUGGUAAGGUAACGGCUUACCAUGGCAACGAUAGAUAGGGGUCCUGAGAGGGAGAUCCCCCACACUGGUACUGAGACACGGACCAGACUCCUACGGGAGGCAGCAGUGAGGAAUAUUGGACAAUGGAGGUAACUCUGAUCCAGCCAUGCCGCGUGCAGGAAGACGGCCCUAUGGGUUGUAAACUGCUUUUAUAUAGGAAGAAACCGUUCCACGUGUGGAACUCUGACGGUACUAUAUGAAUAAGCACCGGCUAACUCCGUGCCAGCAGCCGCGGUAAUACGGAGGGUGCAAGCGUUAUCCGGAAUCAUUGGGUUUAAAGGGUCCGUAGGCGGGCUAAUAAGUCAGGGGUGAAAUACCACAGCUCAACUGUGGAACUGCCUUUGAUACUGUUAGUCUUGAAUUAUAUGGAAGUAGAUAGAAUGUGUAGUGUAGCGGUGAAAUGCUUAGAGAUUACACAGAAUACCGAUUGCGAAGGCAGUCUACUACGUAUAU